CUGCAGUACUUCUGAUUGUCAUUAAAUUAACAAACCUCUUCCUUCCUUCCUCCAGCUGUAGUUUUUGAUAUAUGUCCAUGCUGCUAAAAGAGACCAGACUAAGAAACCAGCCACAAGAUUAAAAUCCAUGGCCCAGGAGUCAUGCUGAUGGAGGCUACAAGACUCCAAUCCUCCUUCAACUGAUUUCAAGUUCUUUGAGAGAAUAAAAACUGAAGAUGAGAAGUCUCAGAAAUGCAAGUGAAAGCAGAAUAUUUUCAAGCC
This 261-nucleotide long non-coding RNA is filed under the name Papio anubis (olive baboon). RNAcentral describes it as "lncRNA (ENSPANG00000043281.1)". Lineage: Eukaryota; Metazoa; Chordata; Mammalia; Primates; Cercopithecidae. The record is from RNAcentral.